CCUACGGGAGGCUGCAGUCAAGAAUAUUCCACAAUGGGCGAAAGCCUGAUGGAGCGACGCCGCGUGCAGGAAGACGCCCUUCGGGGUGUAAACUGCCUUUAUAAGGGACGAAUUCGUGACGGUACCUUAUGAAUAAGAGGUUGCUAACUCUGUGCCAGCAGCAGCGGUAAUACAGAGACCUCAAGCGUUAUCCGGAUUUACUGGGCGUAAAGCGUCCGCAGGUGGUUUGACAAGUCAUUGGUCAAAUCCUGAGGCUUAACUUCAGGACUGCUGAUGAAACUGUCAGACUUGAGGCUGGGAGAGGCAAGCGGAACUAUCGGUGUAGUCGUAAUAAGCGCUGUUAUCGAUAGGAACACCAAAGGCGAAGGCAGCUUGCUAGAACAUGCCUGACACUCAUGGACGAAAGCGUGGGGAGCGAAGGGGAUUAGAUACCCUUGUAGUC
Molecule: ribosomal RNA, 442 nt
Filed under: uncultured bacterium
Lineage: Bacteria
Description: bacterial SSU rRNA
Rfam family: Bacterial small subunit ribosomal RNA
Source: RNAcentral